CACGUAGGGCGCAAGCGUUGUCCGGAAUUAUUGGGCGUAAAGAGCUCGUAGGCGGUCUGUUACGUCUGCUGUGAAAACCCAGGGCUUAACCCUGGGCUUGCAGUGGAUACGGGCAGACUAGAGGCAGGUAGGGGAGAAUGGAAUUCCCGGUGUAGCGGUGAAAUGCGCAGAUAUCGGGAGGAACACCGGUGGCGAAGGCGGUUCUCUGGGCCUGACCUGACGCUGAGGAGCGAAAGCAUGGGGAGCAAACAGG
This 253-nucleotide ribosomal RNA is filed under the name uncultured bacterium. Its description in RNAcentral is "partial 16S ribosomal RNA". It matches the Rfam family "Bacterial small subunit ribosomal RNA", at positions 524 to 776 of the family's 1533-position model. The record is from RNAcentral.